RNAcentral lists this small RNA (125 nucleotides) under Arabidopsis thaliana (thale cress). Its description in RNAcentral is "ATSL042300". The record is from RNAcentral. Lineage: Eukaryota; Viridiplantae; Streptophyta; Magnoliopsida; Brassicales; Brassicaceae.
ACAUUAACGUAAUUAACGUCGUUAAUCUAAACUAUUAAUAAUAUUCACACUUACACUAACUUUGUCUUCUCCUCUUUUUUUUAUUUUUUUUUUAUUUUGUUUAUAAUUAAAUUUAGCAAUUGUUU